Long non-coding RNA from Solanum pennellii, 1183 nucleotides. RefSeq lists it as uncharacterized. The record is from RefSeq and is a predicted model, not a curated record. The transcript has 3 exons. Lineage: Eukaryota; Viridiplantae; Streptophyta; Magnoliopsida; Solanales; Solanaceae.
UACAAUACCCAACAACGUACAAACAGACUCAAAAACAAUACCAGCUGACCCUACAUGCGAAGCCCAAAAUGACACACCAACCCUGAAAACUCAACCUGAGUCUAGCAAACCACCAAGAUGGUCCCUGCGCCCGUCACCCUCCAUUCACACAUGAGCGACGACCCAAACGGGAAGAGAGAACUUUUGUUUUCUUCCUUGGACGUCCCUAUCAUCGUACAUUUCCAGCAGCCACGGUAGCACGUUUCAUCCUUUUGGAUCAAGAUCGAGUUGCGUGGCACUUCAAGGAUGCUGAAUUGAUCAAAGCCAUCCAUUUUCUUCCCCAUUUCGGAAUGGUUUCAGAUUUCAGAGAAAAAGCUUUCUUCCUAAAAUGGUGAAAGUUUUUCAGAGGUUUGAAUUUCAAAUGGGAUUUCUCCUCAUCCGAAUCUUGAUUUUUCCCAUCUCUUUUAAAAGAACAAACCUACUAUCCAUUCUAUAUAAUUUACUCAUUAUUUUAUCUAUAGAAGGGGGAUUUUUUUAGAGAACUAUUCUUGAGAAGAAAAUACACAAAGCAGAGUAAUAGAAACAGGCACAAGGAUACUCUUAGAAAAGGGAAGACAAUCGAUUUUGGCCUGCUCCUCUGUUCUUUCUUUUGCUGGCGUGUCUCCCAGUUUAUUUUUUUUAGACUCAAAAAGUUCGUUUGUUUCUCUUUGCUUCUAUUUGGACUUGUGCUCGUGGGAUAGAAGUCGUCUUCUGUUCAUCAUCCCAGAACGUUAUCUCAGAGAAGGUUCAGGUUCUCAGUUUCCAGAUCACUCAGAGAUCAGUUCCUGAUCUUCAGUUCAACAACACUAAUGACACAUGUAACUAGGUUCAACAUCUGGCAAACCGUUGAUCGAGUGAGCAACUCAGAGUCAAUUGGUGAGCCUCCCAUCAUUCCGGAGGAUAUCUUUAUCAUUCAAUUAUUGUUUUUAGUUUUCACUUGUUAGGAUAAUUGGGGGUCCUCCCCCAACAUCCUUCUUUAUUUUAUAGGCUUCAUAGACUGAUAGUGUUAGUUUCUUUAGUCUUUUCAUUUCACUCGUAAAUGAUUAAGACUGAGUUGUUCUUUUGGCUAAGUAUUACUUUAUGUAUUUCUUGAGUUUUUUCUUGUGUUUAAGUCUUCCCCUAAGUAAGUAAGCUAGGCCAAGGGUUCGCUCGAGACCAUACAACU